This 74-nucleotide transfer RNA is filed under the name Nageia fleuryi. Its description in RNAcentral is "tRNA-Asp". It matches the Rfam family "tRNA". From Rfam's summary of the family: Transfer RNA (tRNA) molecules are approximately 80 nucleotides in length. Their secondary structure includes four short double-helical elements and three loops (D, anti-codon, and T loops). Lineage: Eukaryota; Viridiplantae; Streptophyta; Pinopsida; Araucariales; Podocarpaceae. The record is from RNAcentral.
GGGAUCGUAGUUCAAUUGGUUGGAGUACAAUUCUGUCAAGACGGAAGUUGCGGGUUCGAGCCCCGUCAGUCCCG